Physella acuta is the source of this 489-nucleotide long non-coding RNA. RefSeq lists it as uncharacterized. The record is from RefSeq and is a predicted model, not a curated record. NCBI's taxonomy places the organism in Eukaryota, Metazoa, Mollusca, Gastropoda, Physidae.
AGGUUUUGCCUUACAGAGUAUCGACUCUUGGGUCAAAAAAUGGAAUAAUAAUACGCAAUGGAAGUUGUGUUGAACUCAAACACUUCACGUUUAACGUCAACAUUAAAAACUUAACAAUUACAGAACAGGAUGAUGUUUAUUUUAAUCGAAACAGAAGUCUUGUUGUCCAUAAUACCGGCCUGUAUUACGUAUACCUAAGUGUGCUGUACCAAACAGACACUCCCAAAACAUCCAGCUGGUCAAGUGACAAGAGAUGGUUUACCUACGUCAGCCGAGCCAGGUAUAGAAACGACCACGGCCAGACGCUGCUCAGGACUGUAAACACGCUGGUCAAUAGGUGCUCACCUUAUGACGAGUCACAGUACACAGGUGGGGUCUUCUACCUGCAGGCAGGUGAUAGACUACAGGUGUCGACCUGGGGACCAGACAGUUACUUGAACUACAGUGGAGGCGGGGACUUGGGGUUGUUUUUGUUGCACAAAAUGGAAG